CUUCACAUUGCGAAUGUGUGAGAUGCUCAUGCCAAACCCACUGAAGUCGUAUUUUCUACCCAUGCUCACUGGUCAGUAGAUUUGGAUAAACUUUCGUGGGCCCAACUAAUGCCAACAAAUUCUUAUCUUAGAGCCUGAUCCAGCUCUCACAGCAUGGUGACUACAUUCAGCAGGAGAUGAACUGAUUGAAUGCACAGAACUGACAUAGGACGUAAUCCUAAAGCUGGUAAUUAAGGCAAUUGUAGAAUGCCCCAGACGUUGUAAGACAUCGUAAGACAAUGUUGUGUGAUAUGAUGGUGGGACUACAUGCACAAAAGAUCCUUAUGUUCCUCUGUUUUCCACUGUCCUUUAGAACAGAGAAGUUCUAAGUCUCACACAAGUUAGAUGCCUACAAGAGGUGGGAUAAAUUUCUACUUUUCUGGAAAUCUGGUGGCCAAAUAAUUAAGGAGAGAGUUACCCAAGUUAUUGUGGACAUAUAUCCUGUUAGUGCUAAGGUCCAGACUGAAGGCACAAUGCACUUCGUACAUCACUUAUCUCUGCCAAUCCCCUGACGGAGAAACCAAACCAGAUGAAAUCAAGCCAAACCCCUUUUUAAUAGCAGACAAAAAGUCCUCAGCUGGCUAUUUUUAAUAUGGAAAAACUGAACAAUGGUCUAAUGUAGCGGAGGAGAAAGGGUUCCUGCUUUUGAGAAGUGUCCAGAUGAUCCCACACAAUCAAAUGCUACAGAGACUAGUAAACAGCAAGCAGCUACUGCCACCCAGUUUACUGAGUGCUCAGAGAAUAACUAUGGAUGUGCAGUAAGCCCUGACCAGUGCAUGCACUUGCAGGUAGUAAAUGCUAAGCAGAACCUGAAACACCAAGUUAAUGCACAAAUGCUGUCUACUCCAAGCUACAACACCAGUGAAAACCUAUGAUUAAAUACAGACUUGCUAAAAAAAAUAGGAAACAUUUUCAAAUGAAAAUAUUUGUUGACACAUUGUGAUGAUUUGAAAAAUUUGAGUUGUGCUAAUAACCUUCCCUAUUCCUCUUUACUGCUACUUUMAGCUAGAUAUGGCCAUACUCUGUCUACCUCUUUGCCCUCUUUUUAAUCAUCUAACCAACAUCUGAAGGAAUGUUUUGUUUUCCUUUAGGAAUAACUUUAAAAAUAAGAAUUGUAUUUUAUAGC
RNAcentral lists this long non-coding RNA (1165 nucleotides) under Dromaius novaehollandiae (emu). RNAcentral describes it as "lncRNA (ENSDNVG00000018001.1)". The record is from RNAcentral. Lineage: Eukaryota; Metazoa; Chordata; Aves; Casuariiformes; Dromaiidae.